Long non-coding RNA from Passer domesticus (house sparrow), 3196 nucleotides. RefSeq lists it as uncharacterized. The record is from RefSeq and is a predicted model, not a curated record. Lineage: Eukaryota; Metazoa; Chordata; Aves; Passeriformes; Passeridae. The transcript has 2 exons.
AACCCUGGGGUCAGCCCGCAGAGCAGCGUGUGAGCCGCGGGACAGCCCCGAGGCGGUGGCGGCGCACGGCAGUGCGGGCACCGGGGUGCGGGCGGGCACGGCGGGUCCCGCGGCUGAGUCACGGCACUGCCAGCCCGCCGGCACGGGCCCCGCGCCGCGCCGCUGGAGGCACCGCUAAUCCUCUCUCACGGCAUUAGGUCCACACUGAGAACAGCCGUCGGUUUCUUAAACUUCCUUAAAGGUUCACAGGGUUUCCCAGGCUUAUGAGUCUGUCUCCUACCAUCUGCUCUUCAGCUGCACUGGAGUCUCAGCACUGAAGUCUCCCAGAGUGCUGCUGGGUUGGCUUGCUUGAAGCAGGCAGGUGAUUCAGGUAAGAUAUGUAAAGCUCCCGAUUUCACAGACCCAUUGUAGGUACUGCUGAUUACUGAUUACCUAUUUAUGUUAACUGGCUGUUAGCAAGUAGAAGUUAACUCAAAUUUCAGGUAGAACUUGAUCUAUUUUAUUCAGCUAGUCUGACUGCAUGUUAUAAAAACUUUUGCCACAGGGACAUUUAGGUGUGUUAUUUAUGUUAGGACCAGCUUGUGUUUCAGAAAGAGACAAAUGUUCUCUCCUUUAAAGCGGUGCAGAACAGAUACCAUUACAGAACAAAGAGCUAGGCUUGGUGGCUAAAAAGUUGGUGAGCUGGACAUGUAAGGAAGACAUGCUUUUUAAAGCAUGGGUGUUUUUGUUGUUGGGGUUUUUUACUGUUUUCUUGCAUCUGUUUUCUUUUGGAAAUCACUGGUGAGGCAUAGCAGUAUGAAAAAUUAUUAAAUGAGGCAACUGAUGAAUAUUUUAGAAUCAAGUUCCUAUGUAACAGCUAAAAUUUCUAUUCUCUUAUAUGUAUUUCUAAAUGAAAGUACCUAAGUCUAUGAAAAAACAGGCACUGAGGAUGAAAAUGAAAUGUUCCCACACAAGAAAAAACAAUUAGAAAAAAAAGUAAUUUUAACCCCUGUCUGCAGCUGUGAAGUUAGACAAACCUAUAUUAACCAUUCCAAACAGUGUCCCAUCAAAUUUCUGUACAGCAAGCUUUUUUUUUCUAAAUGAAAGUAAAUUUUGUUAUAAGAGGUGACAGAAGAAAUCAGACACUAAAGCUUUCCAUGUAUAUGAUCCAGGCAUUCACUAUUUGAUUCUAUUACUUAUAAUUUAAUUAAUUAAGAUAAAUACUCUGGUAUUUGUUUGUUGCUUUAAUGAAAAGACUGUAACUAGGAAGAGGCAAGACUCUUUACCUAAGAAGUUUUGUGAGAUGAAUAAUUUAUUCUGCAGGCAUAAUAUAUCAAGGAAGGUAAUUUAAGUAAGCUUGCAACUCGUACAGCUAAUUAGUUAAGUGACCCUGAAGCUUCAAAUAGGCACUUGAUAUUUGAGGUACCAACAAAGAUUUAUUUCUAGCAAAAAUCAGUUAUUUGUAUAUUAAAUAUGUAGAACUAUUAGAGUACAUAUUUCUUUAUGAUUGGUCACAAUUGUCCAAGUUUACAUGAAGGUUCAGAAUAAGAAUCUCUUCAGCCUAUUGCAUAUGAAGGUAUAAAAGCGAGUUAUUUUCCUACUAUUCUGCUAUUUUAUAUGGUCAAGUGUAAUUAAUGAAACUCCAUUUAGAACAUGGAAGAAAUUAAUAAUUUAAUGGAAUGUCCACAUUUCAGCACAAUACCACUCACCAGUGAGUAUACCAGUUUCUCUUCAAAUUUGUCCAGAUUUUUUACCUGACAGAUCAGCAUCCCCUGUGCAUUUUUAGAAAUUCCAGAAUUUCUGACAGUAUCUGAGAUGAAGUGCUCCAGGCAACAAUUACAAAAUCUGAAGAAGCCAUAACUUCCUAAAACUUUAACUAUUUUAAUACAUUUUGGUGCUAAAAUGGAAAAUAUAUGGGUUUUUUUCAUAUUUCAGCAAGUUUCAAAAUACAUUUUAAAUGUCAUUACUUAAUAAGGAUUACUUCUAAAUCAUGGUACCACACUGGAACUCAUGCCUUAUUGAGUAUUAUAUAUGGGGAAAAAAGAGCUGGUAUGUCAGGUCAUGUAAUCCCAUAAGUACUGGUAAGAACAAAGAAUAUCCUAGACUUAGCUUUAGUACUCAUAGGAAAAUCUCCUGCCACCUCAAAUAAAGAGUUCCACAAACACAGCAGAGCUGGGAGAAGUACUUAGGACUUCCAAAGACCUCACUAACACCCUGGCAAAAGGAUUUAUUUUAGCCUGGAGAAGAAAAGGCUUUGGGAUGACCUUAUUGCAGCUUUGCAGUACCUGAAGGGAGCCUACAAGAGAGAUGGAAAGGGUCUUUUCACAAGAGCAUGUAGUGACAGGACAAGGAGGCAUGCCUUCAAACUGAAAGACAGCCGGGUUAGAUUAGAUACUAGGAAAAAAUCUUUACUGUGAGAGUAGUGAGGCACUGGAACAGGCUGCCCACAGAAAGUUGUGGAUGCCCUAUCCAUGGAAGUAUUCAAGGCCAGGUUGGAUGGGGCUCUGAGCAACCUGCCCAUGGUGGUGGGGUUGGAAAUGGAUGAUCUCUGAGGUCCCUUCCAACUCAGGCCGUUGUAUGAUUCUGUGAUUCUAUGAUGAUGGAACUGCUGUGAGAAUAUGCACUGCAAAUUCAGCCAGACCUAACCCGCUGGGUGUGCAUCAGGAGGUGGGAAUGUGGUAUGGUCGCUUUCCCGUGGAGCCUCAUGCUGCUCCUGUUUUACCCACAAAAUAUUGUGAUCAGCGCUUGGUUGGAUGCUGCAGAUGUAACCUUGAGGACUUUACAGCAGAUCCAAUGGUUUACCCGUUGAGAGAGAUUUAUUGUUUUUCUUGAUAGCCCUUCUGUGAAGACAGGGCUGAGUGCUGCCAGGUCCCAUGGCAGCAGAUGCUCAAGGCCAGGGUGGAUGGGGCUUUGAGCAGCCUCUUCUAGUGGAAGGUGCCCCUGUCCUCGGUGGAGGGGUUGGAAAUGGAUGACAUUUAAAAGGUCCCUUCCAGCCCAAACAAUUCAGUGUUUUCAAAGCCCCACACCUGGAGCUGCCCAGCCUGUGUUCCUGGCUCCUGCUCCCUUGCAUGACUCCAGCUUUUGUUGUCACCAAACUUGAACAUUAUUUAAAGAACAACUUGUUUCCUACCUGCUGCUAUAAACCCGACGGUUUAAAAACUACGUCCGUUGAGCACAAGCGGUUUGUAGCCCACCGCUUGCUGCAGCGAAUCGAAGC